AGAAUCAACGCUGGCGGCGUGCCUAACACAUGCAAGUCGAACGAGAAAGUGGAGCAAUCCAUGAGUAAAGUGGCGCACGGGUGAGUAACACGUGACUAACCUACCUUUUAGUGGGGGAUAACCUAGGGAAACCUGGGCUAAUACCGCAUAAUACCUACGGGUCAAAGCAGCAAUGCGCUGAAAGAGGGGGUCGCGGUCGAUUAGUUAGUUGGCAGGGUAAUGGCCUACCAAGACUGUGAUCGAUAUCCGGCCUGAGAGGGCGCACGGACACACUGGAACUGAAACACGGUCCAGACUCCUACGGGAGGCAGCAGUGGGGAAUUUUGCGCAAUGGGGGAAACCCUGACGCAGCAACGCCGCGUGGAGGAUGAAGUCCCUUGGGACGUAAACUCCUUUCGAUCGGGACGAUAAUGACGGUACCGGAAGAAGAGCCCGGCUAACUUCGUGCCAGCAGCCGC
RNAcentral lists this ribosomal RNA (458 nucleotides) under uncultured bacterium. RNAcentral's name for it is "SSU rRNA". It matches the Rfam family "Bacterial small subunit ribosomal RNA", at positions 26 to 518 of the family's 1533-position model. The record is from RNAcentral.